AUUGAACGCUGGCGGCAUGCCUUACACAUGCAAGUCGAACGGUAACGCGGGGCAACCUGGCGACGAGUGGCGAACGGGUGAGUAAUGUAUCGGAACGUGCCCAGUUGUGGGGGAUAACUGCUCGAAAGAGCAGCUAAUACCGCAUACGACCUGAGGGUGAAAGCGGGGGAUCGCAAGACCUCGCGCAAUUGGAGCGGCCGAUAUCAGAUUAGGUAGUUGGUGGGGUAAAGGCUCACCAAGCCGACGAUCUGUAGCUGGUCUGAGAGGACGACCAGCCACACUGGGACUGAGACACGGCCCAGACUCCUACGGGAGGCAGCAGUGGGGAAUUUUGGACAAUGGACGCAAGUUUGAUCCAGCCAUGCCGCGUGCGGGAAGAAGGCCUUCGGGUUGUAAACCGCUUUUGUCUGGGAAGAAAAGGCUCCUUCUAAUAUAGGGGGCUCAUGACGGUACCUGAAGAAUAAGCACCGGCUAACUACGUGCCAGCAGCCGCGGUAA
RNAcentral lists this ribosomal RNA (498 nucleotides) under uncultured bacterium. Its description in RNAcentral is "partial 16S ribosomal RNA". It matches the Rfam family "Bacterial small subunit ribosomal RNA", at positions 30 to 523 of the family's 1533-position model. The record is from RNAcentral.